CAGUAGCCGCGGGAAUACAGAGGGUGCAAGCGUUAAUCGGAAUUACUGGGCGUAAAGCGCGCGUAGGUGGUUUGUUAAGUUGGAUGUGAAAGCCCCGGGCUCAACCUGGGAACUGCAUCCAAAACUGGCAAGCUAGAGUACGGUAGAGGGUGGUGGAAUUUCCUGUGUAGCGGUGAAAUGCGUAGAUAUAGGAAGGAACACCAGUGGCGAAGGCGACCACCUGGACUGAUACUGACACUGAGGUGCGAAAGCGUGGGGAGCAAACAGGAUUAGAUACCCGUGUAGUCCCUGUCUCUUAUAA
This 301-nucleotide ribosomal RNA is filed under the name uncultured bacterium. RNAcentral describes it as "partial 16S ribosomal RNA". It matches the Rfam family "Bacterial small subunit ribosomal RNA", at positions 509 to 809 of the family's 1533-position model. The record is from RNAcentral.